CCUACGGGUGGCAGCAGUGGGGAAUAUUGGGCAAUGGGCGAAAGCCUGACCCAGCAACGCCGCGUGAAGGAAGAAGGCUUUCGGGUUGUAAACUUCUUUUAAGGGGGAAGAGCAGAAGACGGUACCCCUUGAAUAAGCCACGGCUAACUACGUGCCAGCAGCCGCGGUAAUACGUAGGUGGCAAGCGUUGUCCGGAUUUACUGGGUGUAAAGGGCGUGCAGCCGGAGAGCCAAGUCAGAUGGGAAAUCCACGGGCUCAACCCGUGAACUGCAUUUGAAACUGUUUCCCUUGAGUGUCGGAGCGUUAAUCGGAAUUCCUUGUGUAGCGGUGAAAUGCGUAGAUAUAAGGAAGAACACCAGUGGCGAAGGCGGAUUACUGGACGAUAACUGACGGUGCGGCGCGAAAGCGUGGGGAGCAAACAGGAUUAGAUACCCGGGUAGUC
This 442-nucleotide ribosomal RNA is filed under the name uncultured bacterium. RNAcentral describes it as "partial 16S ribosomal RNA". It matches the Rfam family "Bacterial small subunit ribosomal RNA", at positions 338 to 795 of the family's 1533-position model. The record is from RNAcentral.